This 498-nucleotide ribosomal RNA is filed under the name uncultured bacterium. Its description in RNAcentral is "partial 16S ribosomal RNA". It matches the Rfam family "Bacterial small subunit ribosomal RNA", at positions 30 to 523 of the family's 1533-position model. The record is from RNAcentral.
AUUGAACGCUGGCGGCAUGCCUUACACAUGCAAGUCGAACGGUAACAGGUCUUCGGAUGCUGACGAGUGGCGAACGGGUGAGUAAUACAUCGGAACGUGCCUAGUAGUGGGGGAUAACUACUCGAAAGAGUGGCUAAUACCGCAUGAGAGCUACGGAUGAAAGCAGGGGAUAGCAAGACCUUGUGCUACUAGAGCGGCCCAUGGCAGAUUAGGUAGUUGGUGGGAUAAAAGCUUACCAAGACGACGACCUGUAGCUGAUCUGAAAGGACGAUCAGCCACACUGGGACUGAGACACGGCCCAGACUCCUACGGGAGGCAGCAGUGGGGAAUUUUGGACAAUGGGCGAAAGCCUGAUCCAGCAAUGCCGCGUGCAGGAUGAAGGCCUUCGGGUUGUAAACUGCUUUUUUACGGAACGAAAAGCCCCGGGUUAAUACCCUGGGGUCAUGACGGUACCGUAAGAAUAAGCACCGGCCAACUACGUGCCAGCCGCCGCCGUAA